RNAcentral lists this ribosomal RNA (1263 nucleotides) under Phytophthora psychrophila. RNAcentral describes it as "eukaryotic LSU rRNA". It matches the Rfam family "Eukaryotic large subunit ribosomal RNA", at positions 65 to 1118 of the family's 3401-position model. The record is from RNAcentral. Lineage: Eukaryota; Oomycota; Peronosporomycetes; Peronosporales; Peronosporaceae.
CUAACAAGGAUUCCCCUAGUAACGGCGAGUGAAGCGGGAAGAGCUCAAGCUUAAAAUCUCCGUGCAAGUUUUGCACGGCGAAUUGUAGUCUAUAGAGGCGUGGUCAGCGUGGGCGCUCGGGGCAAGUUCCUUGGAAGAGGACAGCAUGGAGGGUGAUACUCCCGUUCAUCCCUGAGUUGCUCGUGCGUACGACCCGUUUUCUUUGAGUCGCGUUGUUUGGGAAUGCAGCGCAAAGUAGGUGGUAAAUUCCAUCUAAAGCUAAAUAUUGGUGCGAGACCGAUAGCGAACAAGUACCGUGAGGGAAAGAUGAAAAGAACUUUGAAAAGAGAGUUAAAGAGUACCUGAAACUGCUGAAAGGGAACCGAAUCGUUUCCAGUGUCUAUAAUCCGUGGCAUAUUUCAUUGGCGAGUGUGUGCGUGCGUGUGCUGUGGCAGCGGUCUUUAUGGCUGCGCUCGGCGUGUGUGCUGUGUGUGCUUGCUGGUGCCCUGUGCUGCGGUGGGACGUCAAGGUCAGUUCGUAUGCUGCGGGAAAUGGCUGCCGAGGAGGUAGGGCUUACGCUCCGCGUUUGUCUGUUAUAUCUUGGUGGACGAGUCGUCGCGGUUGGGACUGAGGUGCCUACAACGUGCUUUUGAGUGGGUUUGUGUCUCCGCGUGCGCCGUGUGCGGAUAGCUUGCUAUGCGUGUGUGGUUGUGUGUGGAUUGAUGCGGGCCUUAACUUGUUGCCGUUCGGGACGUUGACGAAAUGGAGCGAUCCGACCCGUCUUGAAACACGGACCAAGGAGUCUAACAUGUGUGCAAGUGUUAGGGUGUGGAAACCCCAGCGCGAAAUGAAAGUGAAGGGCAGCGCAAGUUGUCUGAGGUAGGAAACGUUGUGGGCUUCGGUCUGCGGCGUGGCACUAUCGACCGAUCAUGAACCUUCGUGGUGAAAGAUUUGAGUUUGAGCACAUAUGUUGGUACCCGAAAGAUGGUGAACUAUGCCUGAGUAGGGUGAAGCCAGGGGAAACUCUGGUGGAAGCUCGUAGCGAUUCUGACGUGCAAAUCGAUCGUCAAACUUGGGUAUAGGGGCGAAAGACUAAUCGAACCAUCUAGUAGCUGGUUCCCUCCGAAAUUUCCCUCAGGAUAGCAGCAACUUAUUUACGAUAGUUUUAUGAGGUAAAGCGAAUGAUUAGAGGAUUCGGGGAAGAAACUUCCUCGACCUAUUCUCAAACUUUAAAUCUGUAAGACCUGCAGGUUUCUUAAUUGAACUUGUGGAUGUGAAUAUCAA